GAACGCUGGCGGCGUGCCUAAUACAUGCAAGUAGAACGCUGAAGGAGGAGCUUGCUUCUCUGGAUGAGUUGCGAACGGGUGAGUAACGCGUAGGUAACCUGCCUGGUAGCGGGGGAUAACUAUUGGAAACGAUAGCUAAUACCGCAUAAGAGUAGAUGUUGCAUGACAUUUGCUUAAAAGGUGCACUUGCAUCACUACCAGAUGGACCUGCGUUGUAUUAGCUAGUUGGUGGGGUAAGGGCUCACCAAGGCGACGAUACAUAGCCGACCUGAGAGGGUGAUCGGCCACACUGGGACUGAGACACGGCCCAGACUCCUACGGGAGGCAGCAGUAGGGAAUCUUCGGCAAUGGACGGAAGUCUGACCGAGCAACGCCGCGUGAGUGAAGAAGGUUUUCGGAUCGUAAAGCUCUGUUGUAAGAGAAGAACGAGUGUGAGAGUGGAAAGUUCACACUGUGACGGUAUCUUACCAGAAAGGGACGGCUAACUACGUGCCAGCAGCCGCGGUAAUACGUAGGUCCCGAGCGUUGUCCGGAUUUAUUGGGCGUAAAGCGAGCGCAGGCGGUUAGAUAAGUCUGAAGUUAAAGGCUGGGCUUAAACCAUAGUACGGCUAUACACU
This 617-nucleotide ribosomal RNA is filed under the name uncultured bacterium. Its description in RNAcentral is "bacterial SSU rRNA". It matches the Rfam family "Bacterial small subunit ribosomal RNA", at positions 31 to 634 of the family's 1533-position model. The record is from RNAcentral.